AGAGUUUGAUCCUGGCUCAGAUUGAACGCUGGCGGCAUGCCUUACACAUGCAAGUCGAACGGCAGCACGGGAGCAAUCCUGGUGGCGAGUGGCGAACGGGUGAGUAAUAUAUCGGAACGUGCCCAGUCGUGGGGGAUAACGUAGCGAAAGCUACGCUAAUACCGCAUACGAUCUACGGAUGAAAGCGGGGGACUCGUAAGGGCCUCGCGCGAUUGGAGCGGCCGAUAUCAGAUUAGGUUGUUGGUGAGGUAAAAGCUCACCAAGCCUGCGAUCUGUAGCUGGUCUGAGAGGACGACCAGCCACACUGGAACUGAGACACGGUCCAGACUCCUACGGGAGGCAGCAGUGGGGAAUUUUGGACAAUGGACGCAAGUCUGAUCCAGCAAUGCCGCGUGCAGGACGAAGGCCUUCGGGUUGUAAACUGCUUUUGUACGGAACGAAACGGUCUGCUUUAAUACAGUGGGCUAAUGACGGUACCGU
RNAcentral lists this ribosomal RNA (480 nucleotides) under uncultured Rhodoferax sp. Its description in RNAcentral is "bacterial SSU rRNA". It matches the Rfam family "Bacterial small subunit ribosomal RNA", at positions 8 to 481 of the family's 1533-position model. Lineage: Bacteria; Pseudomonadati; Pseudomonadota; Betaproteobacteria; Burkholderiales; Comamonadaceae. The record is from RNAcentral.